This 494-nucleotide ribosomal RNA is filed under the name uncultured bacterium. Its description in RNAcentral is "partial 16S ribosomal RNA". It matches the Rfam family "Bacterial small subunit ribosomal RNA", at positions 28 to 507 of the family's 1533-position model. The record is from RNAcentral.
GACGAACGCUGGCGGCGUGCUUAACACAUGCAAGUCGAACGGUGAAGCGCCUUCCUUUUUGGUGGGUGUGGAUGAGUGGCGAACGGGUGAGUAACACGUGAGUAACCUGCCCCCUUCUUCUGGAUAACCGCAUGAAAGUGUGGCUAAUACGGGAUAUUCUGGGUCUGUCGCAUGAUGGGUCUGGGAAAGAUAUUGUUUCGGUGGGGGAUGGGCUCGCGGCCUAUCAGCUUGUUGGUGGGGUGAUGGCCUACCAAGGCGGUGACGGGUAGCCGGCCUGAGAGGGUGGACGGUCACACUGGGGCUGAGACACGGCCCAGACUCCUACGGGAGGCAGCAGUGGGGAAUAUUGCACAAUGGGCGGAAGCCUGAUGCAGCGACGCCGCGUGAGGGAUGGAGGCCUUCGGGUUGUGAACCUCUUUCGCCAGUGAAGCAGGCCUGCCUCGUUUGUGGGUGGGUUGACGGUAGCUGGAUAAGAAGCGCCGGCUAACUACGUG